This 256-nucleotide ribosomal RNA is filed under the name uncultured bacterium. RNAcentral describes it as "partial 16S ribosomal RNA". It matches the Rfam family "Bacterial small subunit ribosomal RNA", at positions 523 to 771 of the family's 1533-position model. The record is from RNAcentral.
UAGCGUAGGAGGCAAGCGUUUGUCCGGAAUUACUGGGCGUAAAGCGCGUGUAGGUGGUGGGACAAGUCUGCUGUGGAAAGCGCCUGGCUUAACCGGGGCGAGGUCGGCGGGAAACUGUCCGACUAGAGGACGGUAGAGGGGGGUGGAAUUCCCCGGGUGUAGUGGUGAAAUGCGUAGAGAUCGGGAGGAACACCUGUGGCGGAAGGCGGCCCCCUGGGCCGGCCCUGACACUGAGACGCGAAGGCGUGGGGAGCGA